This 484-nucleotide ribosomal RNA is filed under the name uncultured bacterium. RNAcentral describes it as "partial 16S ribosomal RNA". It matches the Rfam family "Bacterial small subunit ribosomal RNA", at positions 29 to 507 of the family's 1533-position model. The record is from RNAcentral.
AUUGAACGCUGGCGGCAUGCUUUACACAUGCAAGUCGAACGGCAGCGCGGGCUUCGGCCUGGCGGCGAGUGGCGAACGGGUGAGUAAUGCAUCGGAACGUGCCCAGUAGUGGGGGAUAGCCCGGCGAAAGCCGGAUUAAUACCGCAUACGACCUGAGGGUGAAAGCGGGGGACCGAAAGGCCUCGCGCUAUUGGAGCGGCCGAUGUCGGAUUAGCCAGUUGGUGGGGUAAAGGCUUACCAAGGCGACGAUCCGUAGCUGGUCUGAGAGGACGACCAGCCACACUGGGACUGAGACACGGCCCAGACUCCUACGGGAGGCAGCAGUGGGGAAUUUUGGACAAAGGGGGCAACCCUGAUCCAGCCAUGCCGCGUGCGGGAAGAAGGCCUUCGGGUUGUAAACCGCUUUUGUUCGGGAAGAAAUCCUCUGGGCUAAUACCCCGGGGGGAUGACGGUACCGGAAGAAUAAGCACCGGCUAACUACGUG